GAAACCAGGCAAAUUUCUGCCUUGAUCAGGAACAACCUGUUCCCACAUCCUCCCUUUUCAGCCCCCCUGAGAUCCUCCAACUCUUCUCUGUACUAGAGGGUAUAUCUCUCACCCCCUGGUUCUCUACUUCUUCUCUUUCUUUUUUUCUCUGCAUCUUUCAUGCAACCCCUUUCACUCCUACCAAAUCAAUAUAUGAAGCCUCCGGAGCAGCCCCGAUAGGUCCAGCAUUCGACUCCAUGGUCAUAAAGGAUGCUGCUGUGGGGUCUGUGUAAUGCCUGUGCCUGCUACGUUCACCUCCUAACAUGAGGACUAUGUUAACCCCGCCUCACUGGGAAGACACCUGGGAAGUUCCCUAGUGGCAUGAAUUAUGUUUGCAUCCACAAUAAUGGAAGAUGCUUAGAUCCUCUGAGUAGAAUCAGUUGCUGAAUAAACUGAAAGAGAACAGCUUUGAGUUCAUCCAGUAGGCACCACAAUCAAAAGCCAAGAGCUAGAAACCCUUUGUUUUAAAUCACACUACGUGAGAAGGCCCUGAACGUGUGGGUCAUGGUUUCAUCUGUCUGAGGACACCUUUAUACGUACUCGGGAAUUUCC
Molecule: long non-coding RNA, 591 nt
Filed under: Bos taurus (domestic cattle)
Lineage: Eukaryota; Metazoa; Chordata; Mammalia; Artiodactyla; Bovidae
Description: long non-coding RNA NONBTAT023960
Source: RNAcentral